AGUCAUAUGCUUGUCUCAAAGAUUAAGCCAUGCAUGUCUCAGUACAAGCCAAAUUAAGGUGAAACCGCGAAAGGCUCAUUAAAUCAGUUAUGGUUCCUUAGAUCGUACUAACAAUUACUUGGAUAACUGUGGUAAUUCUAGAGCUAAUACAUGCAAACAGAGCUUCGACCGGAGACGGAAGGAGUGCUUUUAUUAGAUCAAAACCAAUCGGUGGGCGGGUUCGCGCUCGUUCAUCGUCCAAUUUGGUGACUCUGAAUAACUUUACGCUGAUCGCACGGUCUUUGCACCGGCGACGCAUCUUUCAAAUGUCUGCCUUAUCAACUGUCGAUGGUAGGUUCUGCGCCUACCAUGGUUGUAACGGGUAACGGGGAAUCAGGGUUCGAUUCCGGAGAGGGAGCCUGAGAAACGGCUACCACAUCCAAGGAAGGCAGCAGGCGCGCAAAUUACCCACUCCCGGCACGGGGAGGUAGUGACGAAAAAUAACGAUACGGGACUCAUCCGAGGCCCCGUAAUCGGAAUGAGUACACUCUAAACCCUUUAACGAGGAUCAAUUGGAGGGCAAGUCUGGUGCCAGCAGCCGCGGUAAUUCCAGCUCCAAUAGCGUAUAUUAAAGUUGUUGCGGUUAAAAAGCUCGUAGUCGAAUUUGUGUCUCGCGCCGCCGGUUCAUCGUCCGCGGUGUUAACUGGCGAGUCGCGAGACGUCCUGCCGGUGGGCUCGCGGCGCAUUCGCGCGCGUGGCGGCGUUACCAACUCACAGUGUUGUGUCGGUGGCGUUCGUCCGUCGUGUCGCGGAUCGCGUUUCGAGGGCCCAACUCAAUCCCGCCGCGGUGCUCUUCAUUGAGUGUCGAGGUGGGCCGGCACGUUUACUUUGAACAAAUUAGAGUGCUUAAAGCAGGCUAAAAUUUCGCCUGAAUACUGUGUGCAUGGAAUAAUGGAAUAGGACCUCGGUUCUAUUUUGUUGGUUUUCGGAACCCCGAGGUAAUGAUUAAUAGGAACGGAUGGGGGCAUUCGUAUUGCGACGUUAGAGGUGAAAUUCUUGGAUCGUCGCAAGACGAACAGAAGCGAAAGCAUUUGCCAAAAACGCUUUCAUUGAUCAAGAACGAAAGUUAAAGGUUUGAAGGCGAUCAGAUACCGCCCUAAUUUUAACCAUAAACGAUGCCAGCUAGCCAUCCGUCGACGUUCCUCCGAUGACUCGACGGGCAGCUUCCGGGAAACCAAAGCUUUUGGGUUCCGGGGGAAGUAUGGUUGCAAAGCUGAAACUUAAAGGAAUUGACGGAAGGGCACCACCAGGAGUGGAGCCUGCGGCUUAAUUUGACUCAACACGGGAAACCUCACCAGGCCCGGACACCGGAAGGAUUGACAGAUUGAGAGCUCUUUCUUGAUUCGGUGGGUGGUGGUGCAUGGCCGUUCUUAGUUGGUGGAGCGAUUUGUCUGGUUAAUUCCGAUAACGAACGAGACUCUAGCCUGCUAACUAGGCGCAUUUUGACAUCGNCAAAGGCCCGCCGUGGUUCCGCGCGUCGGCGUCGGGUUUCGGNCUCUUCGUNCGCGCGCGUUCNCUCGCGCGCGGUUUUUACUGUCGGCGUACAAACAAUUCUUCUUAGAGGGACAGGCGGCAUUUAGCCGCACGAGAUUGAGCAAUAACAGGUCUGUGAUGCCCUUAGAUGUUCUGGGCCGCACGCGCGCUACACUGAAGGAAUCAGCGUGUCNNCUCCCUGGCCGAGUGGCCCGGGUAACCCGCNUGAACCUCCUUCGUGCUAGGGAUUGGGGCUUGCAAUUGUUCCCCAUGAACNGAGGAAUNUCCCAGUAAGNCGCGAGUCAUAAGCUCGCGUUGAUUACGUCCCUGCCCUUUGUACACACCGCCCGUCGCUACUACCGAUUGAAUGAUUUAGUGAGGUCUUCGGAUCGACACGCGAUGGNNCGUUUCGGCGNUCGUCGAUGCNGUCAGAGAAGAUGACCAAACUUGAUCAUUUAGAGGAAGUAAAAGUCGUAACAAGGUUUCCGU
RNAcentral lists this ribosomal RNA (2001 nucleotides) under Orthognathus lividus. Its description in RNAcentral is "SSU rRNA". It matches the Rfam family "Eukaryotic small subunit ribosomal RNA". The record is from RNAcentral. Lineage: Eukaryota; Metazoa; Arthropoda; Insecta; Coleoptera; Curculionidae.